CUGCCCUCGCUGUCGGUUCUUCCACAAGAGCUGAAAAAUCGAUUCGCGCCUCUCGCCUCACUCCGCUGUCUCUUCCUUCCACGAGCUUCUGUUUGGCUUCUGUUUCCUCUCACCCGCCAGUCACCUGUCUUUGCGCGCGCGGUCUUCGUCGUUAAAGCACGAUUGCGCGUCGACGGGCAAGCGCCGGUUUCCCCGUUCUUCGUCGACUCUCCUGCCCUUUCAGGGUCUCCUGCCUCGGCAUCUUCUCGGCUUUUUGACAUGCUUUUCUCUCUCCACUUUCUCGGGUGAGCACGCGCGAUGAACGUCGCAGCGUCUUCCUCUCGUGGUCCGGCGCUUCUGAAGCGAGUGGUGUCCUUC
Molecule: long non-coding RNA, 357 nt
Filed under: Toxoplasma gondii VEG
Lineage: Eukaryota; Apicomplexa; Conoidasida; Eucoccidiorida; Sarcocystidae
Source: RNAcentral